GACGAGCGCUGGCGGCGUGCUUAACACAUGCAAGUCGAACGAAAAUACCAAGCUUGCUUGGUUGAUUAGUGGCGAACGGGUGAGUAACACGUGAGUAACCUGCCCCUUACUUUCCUGGAUAACUGCUCGAAAGGGUAGCUAAUACGGGAUAUUCUGACCAGCCUGCAUGGGUUGGUUUGGAAAGGUUGUUUUUCUGGUAAGGGAUGGGCUCGCGGCCUAUCAGCUUGUUGGUGGGGUGAUGGCCUACCAAGGCUUUGACGGGUAGCCGGCCUGAGAGGGUGGACGGUCACACUGGGACUGACAUACGGCCCAGACUCCUACGGGAGGCAGCAGUGGGGAAUAUUGCACAAUGGGCGCAAGCCUGAUGCAGCGACGCCGCGUGAGGGAUGAAGGCCUUCGGGUUGUAAACCUCUUUCGUCAGGGAACAAGGCACUGCUUUUUUGGUGGUGUUGAGGGUACCUGGAUAAGAAGCGCCGGCUAACUACGUG
RNAcentral lists this ribosomal RNA (488 nucleotides) under uncultured bacterium. RNAcentral describes it as "partial 16S ribosomal RNA". It matches the Rfam family "Bacterial small subunit ribosomal RNA", at positions 28 to 507 of the family's 1533-position model. The record is from RNAcentral.